AGUGAACGCUGGCGGUAGGCCUAACACAUGCAAGUCGAACGGCAGCACAGUAAGAGCUUGCUCUUACGGGUGGCGAGUGGCGGACGGGUGAGGAAUACAUCGGAAUCUACUUUUUCGUGGGGGAUAACGUAGGGAAACUUACGCUAAUACCGCAUACGACCUACGGGUGAAAGCAGGGGAUCUUCGGACCUUGCGCGAUUGAAUGAGCCGAUGUCGGAUUAGCUAGUUGGCGGGGUAAAGGCCCACCAAGGCGACGAUCCGUAGCUGGUCUGAGAGGAUGAUCAGCCACACUGGAGCUGAGACACCGUCCAGACUCCUACGGGAGGCAGCAGUGGGGAAUAUUGGACAAUGGGCGCAAGCCUGAUCCAGCCAGACCGCGUGGGUGAAGAAGGCCUUCGGGUUGUAAAGCCCUUUUGUUGGGAAAGAAAAGCAGCAGGUUAAUACCCCGCUGUUCUGACGGUACCCAAAGAAUAAGCACCGGCUAACUUCGUG
RNAcentral lists this ribosomal RNA (492 nucleotides) under uncultured bacterium. Its description in RNAcentral is "partial 16S ribosomal RNA". It matches the Rfam family "Bacterial small subunit ribosomal RNA", at positions 29 to 507 of the family's 1533-position model. The record is from RNAcentral.